Long non-coding RNA from Fukomys damarensis (Damara mole-rat), 431 nucleotides. RefSeq lists it as uncharacterized. The record is from RefSeq and is a predicted model, not a curated record. Lineage: Eukaryota; Metazoa; Chordata; Mammalia; Rodentia; Bathyergidae. The transcript is spliced from 3 exons.
CAGACCCUGUGCUCAAAGAGGCGGAGGCCCACAGCUGUGGAGGAUGGUGGGAGCUCCAUGUUUAUUAGGAGUGGAUUGAGCAGCUGGAGCUGUAGCAGCUGUCUCAGGAUUAUGUGCAGCAGGCCUUGAGCAGCAGAGGCAAUCAAAUCAGACCCAGGUCUCGGACGGGAGUCGCUGAGCUGCCAACCACCAAAUUUCAUUUAAAAUAAACAACAAAUGUCCUUAUGGAUUACAUUAUGGGUCACCAAACAACAACCUGCAGGUCAGAUCCAGCACACCAUCUGUUUUUGGAAGGCUCGGCAGUCAUAUAGCUGGAGGUUGGGUCUUUGGAUGUUUGACCUCUGAAGAUCCCUUCCAGAUCUACAUGUAAUUAUUCUUGUGAUUAUAGUUAAACCUCUAUCAUGCCAAUCAAAUGCUAAACCUUUCACAGA